UGUGAAUCAUCGAAUCUUUGAACGCACAUUGCACUCUUUGGUAACCCGAAGAGUAUGCCUGUUUCAGAUAUAAGUCACUAUGAACUCUGAGGGGGUGUUUGCCAACUCAGUUUUCAUGACUUGAACUUUCCAGACUCAUUACGCGUCUGGUGGUUUAAAAUAAAAGCAUGGACGGUCUUCUUGACUCAUCCGCACGCAAAAGUGUAAUACGAGCUGUCAAAGGCUUCAUUCACUUCUUGCUAGGACGUCAGAUGUAUCGAUUUAAUCCAUGGUCGCAGGAAAUCGGGGGACUACGCAAGUAGAACCUAUCCAUAGCGGCAUCUGAAAUCAGGUAGGACUACCCGCUGAACUUAA
RNAcentral lists this unclassified non-coding RNA (354 nucleotides) under uncultured fungus. Its description in RNAcentral is "sequence contains ITS1". The stretch from base 1 to 72 matches the Rfam family "5.8S ribosomal RNA", at positions 83 to 154 of the family's 154-position model. The record is from RNAcentral. Lineage: Eukaryota; Fungi.